Molecule: ribosomal RNA, 1221 nt
Filed under: Triticum aestivum (bread wheat)
Lineage: Eukaryota; Viridiplantae; Streptophyta; Magnoliopsida; Poales; Poaceae
Description: partial small subunit ribosomal RNA
Source: RNAcentral
AUGGCUCUCGCUCUAGCAGGUCGCCUACUCAUGGUGCUGCUCCUCGCGGGCACAGGCGUCGCAGCGCCGCCGCCGCCGCAGGUCUCGCCUUCGGAGGCAACGGUUGACAGCAUUACGGCCAUCUACAACUUCGGGGACUCCAUCUCGGACACGGGGAACCUCCUCCGGGAAGGCGACACCGGAAUGCUGCGUUACACCACGGGCCUUCCCUACGGUGUCACCAUCGGCCGCCCCACCGGCCGUUGCUCCGACGGCUUCCUCAUGAUCGACUUCCUUGCUGAAGAUCUCGGCCUCCCGCUGCUCAACCCGUACCUCGACAGGCGCGCGGAUUUCACGCACGGCGUCAACUUCGCCGUCGCCGGAGCCACCACGCUCAGCACGACGGCGCUGGCCAACAGGGGGCUCACCGUCUCCCACACCAACAGCUCCCUUGGAGUCCAGCUCAGAUGGUUCAAAGAGUUCAUGAGCUCCACAACUAACUCCCCUCGAGAGAUAGAUAAGAAACUAGCGAGUUCACUGGUGAUGCUGGGGGAGAUCGGCGGCAACGACUACAACUACGUCUUCCUACAGCCCCGGCGGACGAACGACAGACACGACCCGAUCAGCAAUGCUACCCGCAGCGCGGAGAGCUUGGCGCACGCCCUCUCACUCGUACCCGAGGUCGUGCAAUCCGUAGCAGACGCAGCCAAGGAGGUGCUGGACAUGGGCGCCACGAGGAUGGUCAUCCCCGGCAACUUCCCCAUCGGGUGCAUGCCGAGCUACCUGACCGCGGCCACGGCGUCGAGCCCCGCGUCGCUGCGCGACGGCGACGGCUGCCUCGUCUCCUUCAACGUCCUGGCGCGCGCGCACAACGAGCGCCUGCGCCGCGCCGUCGGGGAGCUGCGGCGGUCGCCGGACGCGACGGUGGCCUACGCCGACUACUUCGCCGCCUACCUCGAGAUCCUCCGCCACGCGCCGCGGCUCGGCUUCGAGGGCGGCGCGGCCCUGCGUAGGGCGUGCUGCGGCGCGGGCGGCGGGGAGUAUAACUUUGAUCACAACAGGCUGUGCGGCGCGCCGGGGACGACGGUGUGCGCGGACCCGAGCAGGCGUCCUAGCUGGAACGGCAUCCACCUCACGCAGCAUGGUUACCGCGUCAUGACCGAGCUGCUGUAUCGCCGAGGGCUCGCGUGCCCGGCUGCGGUGAAACUCCCGCGCCAGAAGCCUUGCCUGCCCGUGAGUUGA